Molecule: ribosomal RNA, 300 nt
Filed under: uncultured Peptostreptococcus sp.
Lineage: Bacteria; Bacillati; Bacillota; Clostridia; Peptostreptococcales; Peptostreptococcaceae
Description: partial 16S ribosomal RNA
Rfam family: Bacterial small subunit ribosomal RNA
Source: RNAcentral
GGUAACGUCGUGCCGGGAGCGGGGGUAAUGCGGGGGGGGCUAGUGUUAGCCGGGAUUAGUGGGCGUAAAGCGGACGCAGGCGGUUGGAGAAGUUAGAUGUGAAAGACCCGGGCGCAACCUGGGAAUUGCAUUUAAAACUGUCCAGGUAGAGUCUUGUAGAGGGGGGUAGAAUUCCAGGUGUAGCGGUGAAAUGCGUAGAGAUCUGGAGGAAUACCGAUGGCGAAGGCAGCCAUCUGGCCUAAUACUGACGCUGAGGUACGAAAGCAUGGGGAGCAAACAGGAUUAGAUACCCCGGUAGUC